GACGAACGUUGGCGGCGUGCUUAACACAUGCAAGUCGAACGGAAAGGCCCUGCUUUUGUGGGGUGCUCGAGUGGCGAACGGGUGAGUAACACGUGAGUAACCUGCCCUUGACUUUGGGAUAACUUCAGGAAACUGGGGCUAAUACCGGAUAGGAGCUCCUGCUGCAUGGUGGGGGUUGGAAAGUUUCGGCGGUUGGGGAUGGACUCGCGGCUUAUCAGCUUGUUGGUGGGGUAGUGGCUUACCAAGGCUUUGACGGGUAGCCGGCCUGAGAGGGUGACCGGCCACAUUGGGACUGCGAUACGGCCCAGACUCCUACGGGAGGCAGCAGUGGGGAAUAUUGCACAAUGGGCGGAAGCCUGAUGCAGCAACGCCGCGUGCGGGAUGACGGCCUUCGGGUUGUAAACCGCUUUCGCCUGUGACGAAGCGUGAGUGACGGUAAUGGGUAAAGAAGCACCGGCUAACUACGUG
RNAcentral lists this ribosomal RNA (468 nucleotides) under uncultured bacterium. RNAcentral describes it as "partial 16S ribosomal RNA". It matches the Rfam family "Bacterial small subunit ribosomal RNA", at positions 28 to 507 of the family's 1533-position model. The record is from RNAcentral.